RNAcentral lists this ribosomal RNA (492 nucleotides) under uncultured bacterium. RNAcentral describes it as "partial 16S ribosomal RNA". It matches the Rfam family "Bacterial small subunit ribosomal RNA", at positions 29 to 507 of the family's 1533-position model. The record is from RNAcentral.
AGUGAACGCUGGCGGUAGGCCUAACACAUGCAAGUCGAACGGCAGCACAGUAAGAGCUUGCUCUUACGGGUGGCGAGUGGCGGACGGGUGAGGAAUACAUCGGAAUCUACUUUUUCGUGGGGGAUAACGUAGGGAAACUUACGCUAAUACCGCAUACGACCUACGGGUGAAAGCAGGGGAUCUUCGGACCUUGCGCGAUUGAAUGAGCCGAUGUCGGCUUAGCUAGUUGGCGGGGUAAAGGCCCACCAAGGCGACGAUCCGUAGCUGGUCUGAGAGGAUGACCAGCCACACUGGAACUGAGACACGGUCCAGACUCCUACGGGAGGCAGCAGUGGGGAAUAUUGGACAAUGGGCGCAAGCCUGAUCCAGCCAUACCGCGUGGGUGAAGAAGGCCUUCGGGUUGGAAAGCCCUUUUGUUGGGAAAGAAAAGCAGCAGGUUAAUACCCCGCUGUUCUGACGGUACCCAAAGAAUAAGCACCGGCUAACUUCGUG